Molecule: long non-coding RNA, 209 nt
Organism: Glycine soja
Lineage: Eukaryota; Viridiplantae; Streptophyta; Magnoliopsida; Fabales; Fabaceae
Exons: 3
Source: RefSeq, a predicted model, not a curated record
UUCUGCUCUGCUUUAAUGAUCAGCACAGGGUACGUGAUGCUACAUUCUUUUGAUACAGGUGCUGCAUCUUAAGUGCACUUGUACAAUGCAUUGCUGACCCAACAUUCAGUUAAAACUUUUGGUAAAUCUUCUUCUUGGGGCUGAAGCAUAUAGAUUUCUGAGUGAAGAAGCAUUUGCAUUGAAUCAGUGCGGACUGUAGUUAUUGAAAU